GGAUUAAUUAAAUAAGGGCAUAUGGUGGAUGCCUUGACUUGAGAAGGCGAUGAAGGACGUGGCGUGGCUGCGAUAAGCUUCGGGGAGGCGCUUAGCAACCUAUGAUCCGGAGAUUUCCGAAUGGGGAAACCCCGCCGUGCAAACCACGGCGAGCCGUGCUUUGCACAGAAAUCCGAAGUACGAAAUACGAAAUCCGAAACAAAAAGCUUCGAAUUUCGAUAUUCGAAUUUCGAGUUUCCGCGCAGAGCGCGGCGGCGUACCCGCUGAAUUGAAACAUCUUAGUAAGCGGAGGAAAAGAAACCAACAUUCAGCUCUACGCUGUGCUAACUAAGUUACCUGCUCAAUUUUUUGGAUUUGGAGAAUAAAAAAAGAGGACCGUCGCGCGCGGCGGUCCCAGAACUCAAGCACCCCGAGGACAGAAGUCAAGCAAGGGAUGCUGAUAGUAUUAUAGCAUGCUGGUAGGUUUUGUCAAGAGUCCAAAAAUUUGAGCAGGUAUAAGGUUGGAACAGUGUUCUACUGAAUCAUUCCCUUAGUAGCGGCGAGCGAAAAGGGAGGAGCCUAGAGCUCGGGUGUGCAGCAUCGGGAAGCUUCAAAUUUCAAAGUCCAUAUUUCUAUUUUUUUCGCGAAGCAUAUUUCAAAUUAUUUCAGAAAUAUGUGGAAAUAUAUAGAAACUCAGAAAUAUGCGGACAUAUUUUGUCAUUUGGAAUUUCCGCUGCUGUGCAUCUGGGCAGUUGUAAGAUAGUAACGUCUUCCUGAUUUAUCAGAGAGGGGGGGUGUAAGUAAGACUUCGUUAGUAGAACAACUUGGAAAAGUUGGCCAAAGAGGGUGAUAGCCCCGUAUGCGAAAACGGUCUUAUAACCCCAGUUAUUAUCGACUCUUUAGAGUCGGAGCUAUGAUAUUUUUACAUGUCGUAGUUUCUUGAGUACUUCGACGACAGAAAGCGUCGGAGGAAACCGCGAGUACUAUCUCGCAAGGCUAAAUACUUCUCAAGAUCGAUAGUGAACAAGUACCGCGAGGGAAAGGUGAAAAGUAGCCCUAUUAGGGCAGUGAAAUAGUACCUGAAACCAUAUGCUUACAAGGAACCGAGGCUGAGCAUCUCACUGUCGUGAGAUGCGGAAUAUAGAAUCUUGAAUUUUGAAUUUGGAAUGAUUAUUCCAAAUUCUCCCGCCAAUCUCCGAAGGGCGAAGCCCUAGGCAAGAUUGGCGAGGAUCCCGUACUGUCCGCGAUGAAGAUAGGACAAAAUCUUCAUUCGGAGAUUGGCGGGACCCUAGCCAACUGUAGCCGCUCUCCCGCUUUCAGCGGGAUCGCGGACAGUUGCGGGACAACUUCUUCCGCCAAAGGCGGAUCCGCCUCAGGCGGAAAAUUCUGCACCGAACGAGAGUGAGGUGCUUGGUGACGGUGUGCCUAUUGAAGAAUGAGCCAACGACUUUAUCUAUGUUGCAAAGUCUAAUCCCGAAAAGGGAGAAGGCGCAGGGAAACCGAGUGUUAAAAGCGCGUUACUUUAGCUCGAUAGCUUUUUAGCUCAACAGCUCGUUAGUUUUCUAUCGAGCUAACGAGCUAAUCGGCUAACGAGCUUAAGUUAGCAGCAUGGAUAAGACCCGAAACCAGAUGAGCUUGCCAUGGCCAGGAUGAACGCCGGGUAACACCGUCGGGAGGUCCGAACCGGUGGGUUGUGCAAAACCCUCGGAUGAGCUGUGGUAAGGAGUGAAAAGCUAAUCGAAUCUGGUAAUAGCUGGUUCUCCCCGAAAUCGCUUUAGGGCUAGCGGCGUUUUAUGUCAUGCCGGAGGUAGAGCUACUGGAUGAUCCUCAAAGGGCGAAAGCUCGGAUGAUCAAUCAAACUCCGAAUGCCGGCAGGAUUACAACGCUAGUUAGACCGUGGGGGCUAAGCUCCAUGGUCGAGAGGGAAACAGCCCAGAUCGCCGUCUAAGGUCCCUAAAUUCUUGCUAAGUGUAAAAGGUAGUAAUCAGCCGAAGACAGGUAGGAGGUUGGCUUAGAGGUAGCCAUCCUUUAAAGAGUGUGUAACAACUCACUAUCAUAUCGGCCGCAUCUCACUAAGGCGAGAUACUUGAAUGACCAAUUUCUAAUUGACCUAAUUUCUAAUAAAUUUCCAAUACCCAAUUUCGGAAUUCGGUUACUGGGAUUUAUUUAGAAAUUAGAAGUUAGGAUUUAGAAAUUUGAGCACCGAACUUUAGUGAGGUGCGGUUGAUUGGCUGGUUGCGCCGAAAAUGUACCGGGGCUAAGCAAGAUACCGAAGACGCGAAUUACCUGCUCAAAUUUUUGGACUAAUAAAAUAAUAAAAAAGAGGCCACCCAUUGACGAAUGACCCCUGACCUGACUCGUGGAAGUUCUUGUUAGACGACUAUGGUCGUAACGACCGCGACGAUCACCCAAGAGCCGUAGAUGAGUGUUCCUUUCAUGGGUUCAACUCUCCACGCUUCGAUCAUGCGGCUUUCCGUAGCUCAUGAUCAUUGAGAUCGUUAUCGCCCCAAAGACUAAUGCCGAAACAAGUGAAGAAGUCGGUUCCACGACAAGCUCCUUGAUUGAGGGUUCGUUGCAAUUAUAGCAUAAAGUUAAGUUUUUUGUCGAGAGUCCAAAAAUUUGAGCAGGUAGUGGUAGGGGAGCAUUUUGUGCGCAGCGAAGGUUGACCCGCGAGGGCGACUGGAGCGCACAGAAGAGAGAAUGUUGGCAUGAGUAACCAACAAUGCCGAUGAGAAAUCGGCACUCCGUAAGCCCAAGGUUUCCGUGGCAAUGGCAAUCAACCACGGGUGAGGCGGUCCUAAGCCGAUGGCGAAAGCCGAAGGUGAUGGACAGACGGUUAAUAUUCCGUCCCACCGAUACUAUUUCGAUGGAGCGACGGUUGAAAUAAGGCCGGGCGUCUUAAUGGUUUGACGCUGUUUGCUUGAAGGAAUGUUGGACAGGCAAAUCCGUUCAACUGUCUUUUAUGGCAAAUUCCGAAAGCAGACGAAAGUUUUGGUUUUUACCAGGGCAAUCCGGCUGAAGAGCGAUCCAAGAAAAACUUCUAGAGUUAAUAGUAUUGGUUCCGUACCGCAAUCCGACACUGGUGGGCGGGGCGAGUAGCCCAAGGAGAACGAGUGAGUCCUCGUUAAGGAACUCGGCAAAAAAGCGGCCGUAAGUUAGCGAUAAGGCCUUCCCGAGCACCGCAAGGUGCGAGGGACGCAGCGAAAGUUUGCCUGGCGACUGUUUAUCAAAAACACAGCUCCCUGCUAACUCGUAAGAGGAUGUAUAGGGGGUGACGCCUGACCGAUGCGAGAAGGUUAAACGAUGGGGGUCGUAUGCAUCUCACUAAGGCGAGAUACUUGAAUGACCAAUUUCUAAUUGACCUAAUUUCUAAUAAAUUUCCAAUACCCAAUUUCGGAAUUCGGUUACUGGGAUUUAUUUAGAAAUUAGAAGUUAGGAUUUAGAAAUUUGAGCACCGAACUUUAGUGAGGUGUGUACGGCUCACUGUUGUAAGCCCUCGUCAAUGUCAGCGAUAACUAUAAUCGUUCUAAGGUAGCGCAAUUCCUUUCCGGGUAAGUUCCGGAGCGCACGAAAGGCGUAACGACUGGGCAACUGUCUCAACGAGGAGCUCGGUGAAAAUGCGAUCCCCGUGAAGACGCGGGGUACCUGCGGCAAGACGAAAAGACCCUAGAAGCUUUACUGUAGCUUGGUAUUGGUCUUAUGGUUUUAAUGCGUAGCGUAGCGGGGAGGCUUUGAAGGCCUGCUUUCGGGCGGACUGGAGCCGCCAAUGAAACACCCGUCUUUAAAACUGUAAGCUCUAACGAAUUGGGAAUUGGUUUUCCAUAAACCCAGUUUGGACAGUGCCUGGUGGGCAGUUUAAAUGGGGCGUUUUCCUUAAACGUAGUUCCACCUCCGUGGAACUACAGGGGGACACCGCCAAGCGGCGGUGAAAAUCUGGUGUAUAUGCUGGAACAUCCGUGGUGUCUUCAAGUACCUUCUAGUCGAGAAGGUGAAAAUCUUGGAGCGGUUUCCGAUUAAAAUCGGAGCGGCGGACAAUCAGCAGGGAACCGUGGCGCAUGUUCUGUGCCCGGAACACCUCAGAGACCACAAGCCAGAACGGCUAUUUCGGUAGCUGUAUGAUAUGGUCCGAACUGCAUAGCGAUAUGCAGGCCGUGCGAUACGCGCGGCGAACCUAAUGAAAUGAGAUCAAACGAGAUUGAAAGUUUCAAAAAGAAAUUGAAACUCAAUAAAAAACAGAGAUCUAUUCUUGUUGGAUUGCUUUUAGGCGAUGGUCAUUUGGAAACAAGCAAUCGCAGUCGAACAUACCGUCUUAAAGUAGAACAUUCCUUGAAACAAAAAGAAUAUGUAAAUUGGUUGUAUGAGGAAUUUAAGAAUCUUGUUCGUACAACUCCGCAAGUUAAAAUGCGAAAGAGAGCACAAGACAGCUACUGGUUUUCUACAUAUUCUCUUGGGGCGUUUCGUUUUUACGCCCAGCAGUUUUAUGAGGGCGGGAAGAAACGAAUUCCGAAAUUGAUUUCGAAGUUGCUCGAUCCAUUGGCACUCGCGAUAUGGUUUAUGGAUGAUGGAUCUUACAAAUCCGAAAAGCAUAAAACCUACAUUAUUCAUGCACUCGGAUAUGGCAAGAAAGAUCUUGAGUUAAUAAAGGACGUGCUUCAGAAAAAGUUUGACGUUGAGAUUGGACUACAUAAGCAAUACGACAGAUGGCGAAUUUAUAUUUAUAGCGAUUCGGCCAAAAAAUUCGCAGAACUUAUUGGUUCGUACGUCAUACCGUCACUGAAGUACAAAUUAGGGAACACAUUGCCUAAAAAGUAACGGAGGAGUUUAUUAAGGUCGGCUUAGCUCGGAUGGAAAUCGAGCUGGACGCGUAAAGGCAAAAGCCGGCUUAACAGCAAGACCUACAAGUCGCGCUGGUGCGAAAGCAGAACUUAGUGACCCGACGGCUCUUCAUAGGAAGGCCGGAGACACCGGAUAAAAGUUACUCUAGGGAUAACAGGCUAGUCUGGCCCGAGAGUUCCUAUCGACGGCCAGGCUCGGCACCUUAACUUAAAUCGGGGUGCUAUGACAGCAAUGUCAUACCUUUCGGUACUGAAACGAUGUGUUCGGUACUCGAAGAAUAAAAAUCUGACUUAUAACGGCGGACUCCAUAUGAUACGAUUAUCGUAUGGACAAUGCCGUGGGAAGUUUAACUCAAUUCCAAAAAUCAUUGAUCAUUGGAACAAUUUUGGGAGAUGGUUACUUGCGUAUAUUACCGAGGAGCAAGAACGCAUUGCUAGAAAUCAAUCAUUCUUACAAUCAAAAAGAAUAUGUUGAUUGGAAAUAUCGGUUAUUGAAAGAUGUUUCAGCCUCAGCUCCUAAAAUAAGAAAGGGAAAUGGAAACAGAAUUGCCUAUCGUUUCUACACCAGGCAGCUUGAAGGCCUAUCUAAACUUUAUAGAAUGUUUUAUCGGAAUGGUAAAAAAAUCAUUCCGGAUGAACUCAAUUUAGAUGUGGUCAGUCUAGCGGUUUGGUAUAUGGACGAUGGGAGCAGAUGUAGAUCUUCUGAUGUGUAUCUGAACUCUCAGCAGUUCGAUGUCAGUGAUCAGAAAAGGUUGAUCGCAGUUUUAAGAAAGAUGAAUUUAGAAACUAGCCUAAAUAGAGACAAAAACUAUUUUAGAUUACGUUUUAAAAAAUCAUCUUUAUCCAGGCUUAGAGAACUUUUGGCUGAUGCAGUUAUUCCAUCAAUGAAGUACAAAAUUGAGUUAUAACCCCGUAGAGACUUUCCGAUUUAUUCGGAAGAGUCAAAUUUUUAAAGAUUUGACUAAUACGUCAGCGCCAUUACUUGAAAGUAAAAAUAAUUGGAUGAAGACAUAGUCCACACUGUUAGUAAUAACGGAACAAUGUACGAUGUCGGCUCACCCUAGCGCCCCGCUGGAGAAGGUGGGAAGCGUAUGGCUGUUCGCCAUUUAAAAGGGUACGUGAAAGUUCGCGUCUUCCUCGAGUAAUCGAGGAAUGUGAAUCAACUUAUAUCGGUGGAGCCCUAGAAUCUCGAACCCGAUUUUAGGAUAAUACCGAGGGAAGAUUAGUGGAAAAAAGCGAUGCGGUAUAAAUUUCCACUAUAUCCCCGUAACGACUUCUUCGAUAUUAAUAUCGAAGGGAGUAAGGUGAAAUAUCCUUGCUAAUACGUUGAUAUCCCAUAUCCAUAAUGGGAUAGUGAUAUAGUCUAUUCUCUUGGUAACAAGAGGUAAUAAAUGGAGCUGGGUUCAGACCGUCGUGAGACAGGUCGGUCUCUAUCUGCCGCAGGCGUUGAUACUUGAAGGGAGUCGUCCCUAGUAAACGAAAAUUGCUACUUCUCGCAGUAAUGCGAGAUGACAAUUCGGCUAAUAACGGUGAAGGCUUUAGUUUGUAAAAGUUUUGCGGUCCAAAACUUUUGGAUAAACGAACUAGAGUUAAUACCGUGGGAAGUUACCCUGAGUUUAUCGAAGGGUUGACCCCGUAACGACUGACCGAAGCACAUAAGUUUAUGUGCCCGGGAGAUAGAUGUUUUUGAACAUCUAUAAUACGCCGAUACCCAAACCUGCCAUUCGCCAACCGGCGAAGACUGGACGGGUAAAGAUAUAGUCUGCACACAUAGUGAUAUGUGAUUAUGUGACGAGAGGACCGGGAUGAACGAACCUCUGGUCUGCCGGCUCUGCCACCAGGUGGAACGCCGGGUAGCUAUGUUCGGACGGGAUAAGCGCUGAAAGCAUCUAAGCGCGAAGCCUCCCCUAAGAUAAGGUAUCGUUUGAGGAUCGUGGAAGACUACCACGUAAA
Molecule: ribosomal RNA, 6767 nt
Filed under: Parcubacteria group bacterium RIFCSPHIGHO2_02_FULL_48_10b
Lineage: Bacteria
Description: 23S ribosomal RNA
Rfam family: Bacterial large subunit ribosomal RNA (bases 2-3647)
Source: RNAcentral